AGAACGAACGCUGGCGGCAUGCCUAACACAUGCAAGUCGAACGCUUUUGGGGCUUCGGUCCCAAAGGAGUGGCGCACGGGUGAGUAGCGCGUGGGAACCUGCCCUCCGGUUCGGAAUAGCUCAGGGAAACUUGGAUUAAUACCGGAUACGGCUGAGAGGCGAAAGAUUUAUCGCCGGAGGAUUGGCCCGCGUUCGAUUAGCUUGUUGGUGAGGUAACGGCUCACCAAGGCGAUAAUCGAUAGCUGGUCUGAGAGGAUGAUCAGCCACAUUGGGACUGAGACACGGCCCAAACUCCUACGGGAGGCAGCAGUGGGGAAUAUUGGACAAUGGGCGCAAGCCUGAUCCAGCCAUGCCGCGUGAGUGAUGACGGCCUUAGGGUUGUAAAGCUCUUUCGCUCGGGACGAUAAUGACGGUACCGAGAUAAGAAGCCCCGGCUAACUUCGUGCCAACAGCCGC
This 456-nucleotide ribosomal RNA is filed under the name uncultured bacterium. Its description in RNAcentral is "SSU rRNA". It matches the Rfam family "Bacterial small subunit ribosomal RNA", at positions 26 to 518 of the family's 1533-position model. The record is from RNAcentral.